AUUGUUCGCCGACUUUCGAAUCAUUCGAUUAUUUGAAAUUUGAAUUUUGAACAGAAAUACAGUCUACAGACUACUUACAUUCGUACAGAGUUCUUUUCAUACAUUUUAGUUAAAAAUUACAAUGCAUAAGUGUAUUCUUUUUAAUAAAACAUCCAAAGUAUCGUUUCGCCACAUUAAUUUAAUUUUCAUCUGUAUGUAUUAUUUUCAAACUAGUAAUAAGUUCUCCCAGCACCAUAUUUCUUAUUAAUAAAAUCAUACCUAUCUGACCGUUCCUUUAAGGUUCGUAUUAAAAAUAGUUAUUCAUCCAGCUAUCGUAUUUUAGCAGGUGUCUCACAAGGUAACGGCAUCUGUCCCUUUCUUUAUUCUGUGUUCACCUACGACAUCCCAAAAACAUACUUCAUUCUCCUUGGUACAUAUGCCGAUGACACUCUAAUUUCAGCGUGACAUCAGAAUUCCUCAACUGCUUGUCGGAUGAUCGAAAGUCACCUAAAUAUGAUUAACUUAUGGACAAAACGGUGGAGUAUAAAAAUUAAUGAAAACAAGUCUACUCAUGUGACUUUUACAUUGCGCAGUUCUGAUUGCCCACCUGUCACAUUUAAUAACAAAAUUUAAAAAAAAGAAAAUUGAAGGAAAUAAUGGCUAAAAAUCUUCAAAUUAAAUGAUUACCCAAUUUCUAUCUGUCAAAGAAUCUGCGGUAAUCAUUUCAAAAUCAUUGAUUAUAAACAAGGCUCAGUAAAUUAGUAUAUAUCAUGGCAAGAGACUGUUUCAAAACAUAAUCCAUACAACUUGUAUGGAAUAGAGAAGUAGAAUAAACAUUAUAAAAUAAAUUUUAAUAAUUUACAACAACUCUGAGUAAGACUAGUAAGUAAUAAGAGAAUAUUUCUCACGAUGAGUUAGAUGAAAAUUAACCGUCUAACAAAGAAUUUGGAGAUGUUACAGUUGAUGACUUUAAUCUACCCAGAAAAGCCUUAGAAACUUAAUAAUGUGUAAUUCACACACACUUAUUCAUACCUUGGAUUAUACUUAUUCUGGUUUUCAAAACUGAAAUAUUUGAUGUAUCACAUAUAAGGAACUAGAAAGUCGAGCCGAUGUAUUGACAAUUUUUCAGAUGUUAACUUUCUCGAAGAUCAUUCUGCCGGCUCAGAUCAAGCCAUACAAUAUUGGCGCAAGUUAUGAAACUUAAAGGUGAGAAUAUUAUUGAUAGGUUUUAAUUUUAAAGCCAUUUUAAUGUGCCAUUAACUAACAUACCCAUCUGUUCACAGGACACAUUGUAUAUCUAAUUGUGUGCGUGGGCUUAUAUGUAUUUGUAUCAAAAAGGCUUAGCCUGUGUAGUCAAUAUAAAUGAAUACAUAAAUAUUUAUAUGUUAAAAUCUUAAAAUAUCCUUAGCUUGCUUUAAAAGUAAAAUACAAAUAAAUGCUUAGUGCUUCUCUAUAAAGUUCCUUAAAAAAUAUUUUUGACAAAACUUGAUUUUGUUUUUUUGGUGUGACUAAAAAAAAAACUAUGUAUACAUGAUUUUUUCACCGAAUGUUCCAAUUAACAUUUUCUAUAUACCAUACAAUUUUUAAAACAAUUUUACUCUUUUUGAACUAAUUAUAGGGAUAAGACAUUUUUAUUAGUUAAGUUAUUACAAUUAGUAUCAAAAAAAGUUCAUUGCUAUGUCAAAGAGUUUGAAAAUGUAACACAAGGAUCUUGUAAGAAAAGGAUAAAGGAUCUUUAUCUGUUCAAAAAUAUUAAAGAUACAUAGCCACUAUUUUUCAUAAGCAUUUAAAGUUCAAAUGUUGACAAAAUUCAUCAAUAAUUUGCAAAUUAUUUAGUAGUUAAAAAUGUAUAAAAUGUUCAAUAGUCAAGGGUUUACAUUAUUUUAGAUUUUUCAUAAGUACUGUUUAUACUGUACCUACUUGAACCUUUUAAAGUAUACCAAAUAGAAUGUUUUUGGUAAAAAUUCAUUCAAUUUACUGUUUUACUAAAAGUAGAAUAAAUUACUUUAACAGCAUUACCAUAAAAUGUGGGUACUUGUAUUGUAAUAUAGGCUAACAGUCUUUGGCUCUUCGCUCAGUAUCGUUUUUUUUGUAUAAAAUGAUUUUAUAUCAUUAAAUUAAAUUUAACACAUCCAUAAUACUGACCUACCAGCCACCACCCACACGACUUGUAAUGUACAGCAAAGCGUAACCAGCCUUUUUAUUAUUAUUUUAAUUUAUAGAAUAUAAGAACCUGGUGGAAUUAGAUUGAAAUUAUUAGUUUUCUUUAUUUACUGUAGUUUUACCAAAUCCCAUACCUAAUAUUGAUAAAUAUGAUGAUAAUAUUAUGUACGGUUAUCAACUACAUUUGUUUUUAGAAACAAAAAGUUAUUUUAGAAUUCGUCAUUAUUGAUCUGAUUGUUAUGACAAUUGGAUCUGUAUUUUGGGACAUUGGGAGUAAGUGGCAACUUGAUACAAAUAUAAAGUUCUAUUGAAGUGUGUGAACAUUGUGAACAUCUAAAAUUUCAUAUAGGACGGUAUAAACUAAUAAGUUGUACCCCUUAAUUAAAGGCAUAGGUUAGUAAUAUGAAUUGUUUAUUUUAUAUAUAGUAUUACAUUUAUUUAUAACUCAUAUCUCUCAGGUCCACAUGUUGUUGUUUAGUAGAUGUAACUUACACUUUGCAGAAUAUAUCCAUCUUUAAAAAGAUACCUAAAUCGUAGUAUUAUAAGUUCAAAUACUACAAUUAGUAAAAAUAAUAAAAUUUCAAAUCAUUGAAGUUUUACUAAAGUGGUAAGAAAUGUUUUAAAAUAUCAAUGCUCAUGACUGGUAGUAAUUUUCAGAAUUAAUUUUUUUUUUUUAAUUUAUUUUAAACAAAAAAGUGUUAUACAAUUAUUGUUUUCUUUGGUUCUUAAAUAAUCAUUGUAAAUUAAUUUCAUUUUUUUUUUUGGCCCAUCUCAUAUCAGACAAUUUUUUUCAAUGUUAAAGUCCUACCUAUCAUACCUUCAAUUUGUUUUACUUGUAUAUCUUUUAAAAUAUGUAAUGUAGGUUAACUUCUGGUUAGAAAUGUGGCCCAUGUAAGUUGGUACUGUCUCAAGCAAAUUGAUUAACUUUUGAUGAUUUAUAUUUUAUAAUGUAUAACAUUUUGUAUUGUACAGUUGUAUGUUUAUAUUAUAAACUAUAAAACAAAAAAAAAUUCUAAAAAUCUCACACAUUGUAAAAUCUACAGUAGGUACAUCAUUAAUAGCUAUUUACUCAAAUCUAAAAUAGUAAAAAAAACAAA
This 3239-nucleotide long non-coding RNA is filed under the name Acyrthosiphon pisum (pea aphid). Its description in RNAcentral is "uncharacterized LOC107884696, transcript variant X1". Lineage: Eukaryota; Metazoa; Arthropoda; Insecta; Hemiptera; Aphididae. The record is from RNAcentral.